Molecule: ribosomal RNA, 253 nt
Filed under: uncultured bacterium
Lineage: Bacteria
Description: partial 16S ribosomal RNA
Rfam family: Bacterial small subunit ribosomal RNA
Source: RNAcentral
UACGUAGGGUGCAAGCGUUAUCCGGAAUCACUGGGCGUAAAGCGUGCGUAGGUGGGAAUUUAAGUGAGAUGUGAAAUCGUGUGGCUCAACCAUAUCGCUGUAUCUCAUACUGGGUUCCUAGAGGACGGCAGAGGCAAGUGGAACUAGCAGUGUAGCAGUGAAAUGCGUAGAUAUUGCUAAGAACACCAAUGGCGAAGGCAGCUUGCUGGGCCACUCCUGACACUGAGGUACGAAAGCGUGGGGAGCGAACAGG